AUGCUUGAUCUUUUUCCAUUAUCCAUGGAACGUAUCGCCAUAUCAACUCCUCGCUCUUUACACUAGGACCACAAACCAACGAAUCAGAGAGCUUUGGCAGGCUCGUUCCAUGAUUUAUAAAACAACGCCAGACUAUGGUAUCGCUAGGGUGAAAGAAAAUUGUCAACUAAAGUUUCAUAAUGGAACCACUGUUCAACCUGUUGGGAUGAAAGUCAACGUGGAUUGAAUGUUCUUACUUUGCACUUCGGAUUUAAAGCGGGAACUUUUCGACAACAGCUCAGGAAAGAUUCCAAUGAGCUGGGGAAAAAAGAACAGGAAUGUUUGUCUCGAUGAAAACAGAAUGCAUGUAAGUACAGUCACGUUCUUAAAUGUCCAGUUUUGCUUGUAUUUGCAGUAACUACCGCGGUACGUGUCCCAAACUAUAGGGACCUUAAGAUACGCCAAAUCUAGAACGCGGACGUGAAAUAGCUAAUACUGUCUUCAUUUCCACAGUUUCACAACAGGAAUAAAAAUUAUGCACUCUUUUUGGUAAAAACAGAGCUGUAUGUAAAACUAAUUAAAACUGGGUUUCUAACAACUCCGGCUGAUUUCAUGUCAGUCCGCGUCGUAGAUUUGGUGUAUCUUAAGCCGGAUCUCUACUAUCAAUUCGACAACGACAUUUUAUGCGUGU
Molecule: long non-coding RNA, 670 nt
Organism: Dendronephthya gigantea
Lineage: Eukaryota; Metazoa; Cnidaria; Anthozoa; Malacalcyonacea; Nephtheidae
Exons: 3
Source: RefSeq, a predicted model, not a curated record